AAAAAAAAUAGUUUGUUUAAAACUUAAAAGAAAAAAAAAUGAAAUAGUGCUAGUGUCACAAUAGUUAUAUACUUGAAAGAGAGGGACAAAAACGUAAAAAGAAGUGACGAGAAUAAAUAUAUGAAAACGCCCUUUUUGCUCUACCACAAUAUUCCCCUUCCCUUCUAUUCUAUCUAAUUCUACAUUUUCAUUCUUCUAUAUUUUUCUCCCUCUUCAUUCCCCCAAAUCAUCACAUCACACCUUCUCUUCUCUCCCUCCAACCCUAUCACCACCCUUUCUCCGCCGCACACGCCACCAGUAACUGCAAUCCCUCCCUUCCUUCCCAAUACAGAUUCGUGCUUUCCUGAUCCCAUCUUUCUAUACCCUAAUCAUCCACCACCCCUAACCACCACAUCUAUUUUUUUCUUUUUU
RNAcentral lists this long non-coding RNA (411 nucleotides) under Trifolium pratense (red clover). Its description in RNAcentral is "long non-coding RNA (TPRA_LNC005270)". The record is from RNAcentral. Lineage: Eukaryota; Viridiplantae; Streptophyta; Magnoliopsida; Fabales; Fabaceae.